RNAcentral lists this ribosomal RNA (279 nucleotides) under uncultured bacterium. RNAcentral describes it as "partial 16S ribosomal RNA". It matches the Rfam family "Bacterial small subunit ribosomal RNA", at positions 506 to 784 of the family's 1533-position model. The record is from RNAcentral.
UGCCAGCAGCCGCGGUAAUACGAGGUGUGCAAGCGUUAAUCGGAAUUACUGGGCGUAAAGCGUACGCAGGCGGUCUUGUCCGUCAGGUGUGAAAGCUCGGGGCUCAACCCCGGAAGUGCACUUGAAACAGCAAGACUUGAAUACGGUAGAGGAGAGAGGAAUUCCUGGUGUAGAGGUGAAAUUCGUAGAUAUCAGGAGGAACACCGAUGGCGAAGGCAUCUCUCUGGGCCGAUAUUGACGCUGAGGCGCGAAGGCGUGGGUAGCGAACGGGAUUAGAUA